This 467-nucleotide ribosomal RNA is filed under the name uncultured bacterium. RNAcentral's name for it is "partial 16S ribosomal RNA". It matches the Rfam family "Bacterial small subunit ribosomal RNA", at positions 28 to 506 of the family's 1533-position model. The record is from RNAcentral.
GACGAACGCUGGCGGCGUGCUUAACACAUGCAAGUCGAACGGAAAGGCCCUGCUUUUGUGGGGUGCUCGAGUGGCGAACGGGUGAGUAACACGUGAGUUACCUGCCCUUGACUUUGGGAUAACUUCAGGAAACUGGGGCUAAUACCGGAUAGGAGCUCCUGCUGCAUGGUGGGGGUUGGAAAGUUUCGGCGGUUGGGGAUGGACUCGCGGCUUAUCAGCUUGUUGGUGGGGUAGUGGCUUACCAAGGCUUUGACGGGUAGCCGGCCUGAGAGGGUGACCGGCCACAUUGGGACUGAGAUACGGCCCAGACUCCUACGGGAGGCAGCAGUGGGGAAUAUUGCACAAUGGGCGGAAGCCUGAUGCAGCAACGCCGCGUGCGGGAUGACGGCCUUCGGGUUGUAAACCGCUUUCGCCUGUGACGAAGCGUGAGUGACGGUAAUGGGUAAAGAAGCACCGGCUAACUACGU